UACAGGGGGGUGCAAACGUUGCUCGGAAUCAUUGGGGCGUAAAGCGCACGUAGGCGGUUCGUUAUGUCGGAUGUGAAAGCCCUUGGCUUAACCGAGGAAGUGCAUCCGAAACUGGCGAGCUAGAGUACGAAAGAGGAUCGCGGAAUUCCCGGUGUAGAGGUGAAAUUCGUAGAUAUCGGGAGGAACACCGGGUGGCGAAGGCGGCGAUCUGGGUCGAUACUGACGCUGAGGUGCGAAAGCGUGGGGGAGCAAACAGG
This 257-nucleotide ribosomal RNA is filed under the name uncultured bacterium. RNAcentral's name for it is "partial 16S ribosomal RNA". It matches the Rfam family "Bacterial small subunit ribosomal RNA", at positions 524 to 776 of the family's 1533-position model. The record is from RNAcentral.